RNAcentral lists this long non-coding RNA (7568 nucleotides) under Sorghum bicolor (sorghum). RNAcentral's name for it is "long non-coding RNA (SBIC_LNC000041)". Lineage: Eukaryota; Viridiplantae; Streptophyta; Magnoliopsida; Poales; Poaceae. The record is from RNAcentral.
GUAGUAGACUGCAACGAAACAUAAGUGCUUAACACCGGUGGACUCCUCUGGCGUUGCGCCGGCGUACUCUUCGGCGACUGGAGGAAGCGCUCUGCCGUGGUUUCGGUGCUGCAGGAGGUGCCUGGCGGAGCUUCAAGAUCCAGUGUGGCGGAGAUUCGAGUUCCUGUGUAGCAGCCGAUGCGAGCGUGCGGGUGGUGGGUGAAGGUACGCCGCUGGAACGGAAGCACAGUACCUGCUCGACGAAUUGCGUCCAAGGGCUUGUCGAAACUCAGGUACGCUGCUUUGUCUCAAAGGCCUUCCUGGUGAAAAUACAGUGAUUUCAGAGUGGUUUCAGUGGUUUGUUUACUGGUGAACUUGUGAAACUGGUGUUUUUGUGAAGAAUUACGUGUAGAACUCUAGAGUAUUAGAAUCCUCCUGCCGCCUGCUUUCACACGGAUUAGGAGCUAAGUCUACUGUAUCCUGUAAAGCAAUGGUUGAGCAAGUAGAACCAAAGAGUGGAUCAAAUUUGUCAAGCUGUUUGCAAAGGCGUCAUUCAGGGCCUUUCCUUGCCACGGCCUCAGAGCUGCUAGGGGGCAAUGGAGAAUCGUGGAGGGGGUCGAGAUUUUGGGCACUGAAUGACGAUAGUGAUGAAGAGUGUGAUGUAAUUAGUUCAGCACAGAAGGGUGGGGAUACCAGGGAAGAAUCUUAUCAUUCUGAUCAAGAAUUCAUAAGAGAUGCAACCUGGACCGGAUUCUCGGUGGAUGAUGUGCUUAGAGCUGAGACUCUAUUAACAGAGAAUUUUUAUUCUCCAAAAUUUUCGUCUGUAGACAGGGGAGCUGGACAGGCUAGUCAUCCCCGUCCACUAGCGUCAAGAAUUACAGAGGCUGUGGCAGACUUGCGCAUACAGAGGAACAUGAAACCAUGGAGGGGGCCACGGCCUAAGCCACGGUACUCACCUAAUCGGCAGCUGGGGGAUCUUUUGGUCAAGGAUCUAAGAGUAGCCUACAUGCAUGAAACACCAAAAUCGUUGAGAGAUUUGUGCUCCGUAGGGAAUAGACAUACUAAUCGCGUUUCUCAGGAAGGGGAGAGCGAGGGGACAAGAUUGGUCUUUGUGCGAGGCUGGUCAUUGGGCCAUCCACGGGCACGCGGGCUGGGAGUUACUCUGCCCAACAAGUCUGUUAAAGUGGGCUCGCACCCAGAGUUUAGGCCAACGCAGGGUUUAAGUGCCCUGUUUAUGGCUGGGGGAGUGCCGAGGCGUCUGGCGGCGAGAAGAGAGGUUGUAAACGAUACAUCUCAGGGUCGGAGGAUUGAUCCGCCUUUCAUCCAAAAACUCUCUUUUGCGGAAGCACUAGUCUCAGGACCCAAGGGCGAAAGAAAGGCCGAGAUGAAGAAUAUGGCAGGCAACCAUGGUGGACGCGAUAGGGAGGGAAGAGGCGGCGCUGGCACCUACGGCCCUUAUCAUCGCGAUCGAGGAGGGGUUGGCGCGGGUCGAAGCUGGGGUGGAAGAGAGAGUUGGGCACGGAGAGGUGGUGUCUCUCGUGAUGCUUAUAGGGGAGCUCAGGUGGGUAGGUUUGGAAGCUUUGGUAGAGGUCGUGGGGGGCAAUUCCCCCCACCAGUUGGAGCUGGGAAGGGUGAAUGGGUGUGGAGAGAGGAUCGGCGACAUUCACAGGCGCAGGGCAUGGGCAAUGGUGGAGGUGAGUCCUCUGAAGCCGUUGACAUGGUAUUGGGGUCUGACAACGACCCUGAUAUGAUAGCUGAAGAUGGUGGAAGCAGGGAAGGAGGUGAGGUUGUCAAAACAGGAGGAAGAUGUUCUAAGUGUUCAAAGAGGGGGCACCUGGCCGUAGCAUGCACGUCGGAGGUGUAUUGUGUAAUAUGUGACUCUCAUGAUCACAUGAACCACAAGUGCCCUGUCCUAAAAGCACCGAGACCUGUGGCCCAUGCAGCGGGAUAUGCAGUAAUGGGGUUGGGAUUCUACCAUAUCCCUCACCCACCGCUGCCCAGGCUGAAAAAGGAGUCUAAGAUGGCUCAAGUUUCGGUGGUAGGUGGUUCUCUGUCUGAAGAACAACUGAUUCUGCAGCUCAAAAGGGUAGUGCCGGUUAAGUGGAGUUGGGAACUAAAGAAGCAGGGAGACGGAAAAUUUAUUACCCAAUUCCCUUCUAAGGCUGAGUUGCAGCGGUCAAUUGCAUAUGGUGGUGCGGAUGUUAAGGGAGAGGGGGUGCAUGAUGGCAUUAGACUACAAUUUGAAGAGUGGCACGAGAAGGAUGAAGGUUUCUUACUAUCAAAGGUUUGGGUGAGAGUGAGGUGCAUCAGAGAGCCACUCCGCGAGUUUCUCAUCUUGUGGGCUGUGGGGUCUCUGUUAGGCUCAACACAAACCGUUGACAUGGAGACUACCAGGAAGAACGAAUUUGGUCGUAUCUUGAUUGCUGUUCUUGAUCCCAAGCUUAUCCCAAGGAGGCUGGACGUAGUAAUCGGUGACCAUUACUUUGAUUUGGAGUUUGAAGUCGAGAAAAGAGGCUUUGAUGAGAAUGGAGAGGAGGUUGACGUUGACUGGGAUGGAGGAGAAGAUGAGGGGGAAGGCAAGGAAAUAGAUCCGAAUAGUGAGAGCGGAUUGGGUGCUGACCAAUCAAUUGUGAAGGAUAACAGGCAGUCCAAAAGGGAUGAUGGAGGUGCUGGCAGGAAAGAGGAAGGAAAUAAUUCUCAUUCUCAAAAUGGUGCUCCCACCAACAAUAGUCACGUUCUCAGUAAGGCAGAGUUCCAGGAUUUCCUUAAAUGGAAAGCAGACCAAGUGCUCGAUGUGGCUGUUGAUAAGGCUUUGGAUGACCUGGCAACAAAAGUGGCAAUGGAGACUGAGGAGCCCUUGGAGGGGGCCUCAAAAUCUCUUGCUUUGGACGCUGUUGUUUCUGCUGGGAAUGAAGUUGGGGUAGCUGAGAUGGAACUGGAGAAGAACAUAGAUGUCGUUCCAACGGAGGAUGUGGAAGAGGGUUCUAAAAAAAUUGCAGCGGUGGUGGAACCAGGGAGUAGCGUGAUGGGGGCUCCGAAUGGACCUGCUACUGCGGCAUUCAUGGAGGCGACGCUGAUUCCAGAAGCUGUGCACUCCCCUAUCAGGGCGAGUCCACGGCUUGCUGGGGUGACGGCUGAGCACACCCUAGUGCGGGCAGAACGGUUGGUGCAAUCCAAGAACCUGGAAUGCAGCCGAGGUAACAAUCAGAAUGACCACUCUUGUUUAUUACCCUUGUCAAAUGCUGUAGAUAACCUACAUGCUUUAGGCUUAGUGGUGGAUAUUAAUAACAAGGCUUCCUUUGAGAUGAAUGUUCAGGAUUUAGUAGAAGAUGUUUGUGUUAGUAAUAGUCCUCACUCUGUUUGGGGAACUGGGGAGAUAGAAUUUUCGGAUGGCGAGACAGUAGGUUCAGAGAAUUUUGAGAGGAAAGCGUUAGAGUCUCUAUGUGGGGAUCUUAUGGAAGAAAUUUUUGAUGACGACAGCUAUCACUUAAGUAGCGAUCUUAAAACGGUCCAAAGGAAGCCAGGCGCUAAGACGUCUAGGAAAAGGGCUUCGAGAAAGUUGAAGAUUAGGAUUAAUAAGAUUAGUGCGAAAUGAGGGGAAUUUUUUGGAAUAGCAGAGGUCUUCGUGACUUGGCUAAAACAAAAUUUUUGAGUAGUGUUUCAAGAGAGCAGGGACUAGAUUUCAUUGCGCUCUUAGAAAUUGGUAAAAGAGAUUUCACACAGGCAAAGCUCGAUAGAUAUAGCGGGGGAAAGAAUUUUGUUUGGCACUGGACUGAACCACAUGGAAGGUCAGGGGGUAUGUUGCUAGGAGUCAAUAUGGAUGUGUGUGAUGUUGGAAGUAUAGAGGAGGGAGAUUUCUUUAUCAAGUUCCAUCUCAGAAAUAGGGAUGAUGAUUUUCAUUGGUGUUUAGUGGCGGUCUAUGGAGCUGCACAGCCAGAGUUUAAGGAAAAAUUCCUAACUGAGCUGGUACAGGCCUGCAGGAAAGUAUCUCUCCCCCUUCUGGUCGGUGGAGACUUUAAUAUAAUUAGGAAUCCAAGCGAGAAAAACAAUGAUAACUUUGAUGACCGAUGGCCCUUCUUAUUUAAUGCCAUUAUAGAUGGCUUAAAUUUAAGAGAAAUCGAGAUGUCAGGAAGAAAAUUCACUUGGGCCAACAACAGACAGGUACCAACUUAUGAAAAGUUAGAUAGGGUGCUGGCCAGUACGGAAUGGGAGCAGAAGUUCCCCCUUGUCACUGUUAACGCUCUGAAUAGGGAGAUCUCAGAUCAUACCCCCCUGAUCCUUAAUACCGGUGAUAGGGUGCAUAGGGACAGGCAACCUGAGUUCAAUUUUGAACUGAGUUGGUUCUUACAGAAGGACUUCUUCAGAACAGUACAAAGAAUAUGGAAAAGUGUAGAGUAUGGAUCUACCCCAAUGAAGAAAUGGCAGAAUAAGAUUAGAAGAUUAAGGCAAUUUUUGAGAGGGUGGGCAAAGAACGUUAAUGGAAGCUUCAAAAGAGAAAAGGAGGAAUUGUUUCGGCUUGCCGAAGAGUUAGAUAAGAAGGCAGAAACCCAGAUUUUGAGUCAACACGAGCUUGAUAUGAAGCAAAGUGUUAAAGUAAGGAUCACGCAAUUGCUAAGAGAAGAGGAAAUCAAAUGGUUCCAGAGGGCAAAGUCCAAGGAUCUACUAAAGGGAGAUAAUAAUACUAAGUAUUUUCACAUGGUGGCCAAUGGAAAGAGAAGGAAAACAAGAAUUUUUCAGUUAGAACAAGAAGGAGGAGUGGUCGAAGGACAGGAAAACUUAAAGGUUUUCAUAACAAAUUAUUAUAAAGAUUUGUUUGGGUCAUCACAGAGAAGUACCUUCUCUCUUGAUGAAUCACAAACAAGUGAUAUUCCGCAGGUUAAUGAAGAGGAGAAUAAGAUACUAACUGAAGCUUUUACAGAAAAAGAGGUUAGAGAUGCUAUUUUCCAAAUGAAACACAAUAAGGCACCAGGCCCUGAUGGCUUUCCGGCAGAGUUUUAUCAAGUGUUUUGGGCUCUAAUUAAAGAUGACCUAAUGGCCAUGUUUCAAGAGUUCCAUGCUGGUAACUUGCCUCUCUUCAACCUUAACUUUGGAACAAUUACCCUGAUUCCAAAACAAAAGGAAGUAAAAAAGAUACAGCAGUAUAGGCCGAUAUGCAUGCUGAAUGUAAGCUUUAAGAUCUUUACUAAGGUCUUGGCUAACAGGCUUACUGUGUUGGCCGACAAAGUAGUGAGAAAGUCGCAAACCGCAUUUAUGCCAGGAAGAAACAUUUUGGAAGGGGUGGUGAUUCUGCAUGAAACAAUACAUGAACUGCACAAAAAAAAGAAGAAUGGAGUGAUAUUGAAAUUGGAUUUCGAAAAAGCCUAUGAUAAAGUAAAUUGGCCUUUUGUGCAGCAAACGCUUAGGAUGAAAGGCUUCUCGCCUGUUUGGUGUAAGUGGAUUGAAAAGGCUGUAAGUCAAGGGAAUGUGGGGAUCAAAGUGAAUGAUGAGAUUGGUCAGAACUUCCAAACCAGAAAAGGACUGAGGCAAGGGGAUCCACUCUCACCUAUCCUUUUUAAUUUGGUGGCGGACAUGCUGGCCAUUCUUGUUUCGAGAGCAAAGAACGACAGGCAGUUUGGAGGCCUAGUACCUAACCUCAUUGAUGAUGGGUUGUCUAUUCUGCAAUAUGCAGAUGAUACUAUUUUGUUCAUGGACGAUGAUUUAGUGGGGGCUAGAAAUCUAAAGUUAGUGCUAGUAGCUUUUGAGAAGUUGUCGGGCUUGAAAAUCAAUUUUCAUAAGAGCGAGUUGUUUUGUUUCGGAGGAGCUAAGGACAGAAGCAUGGAAUAUGUGGAGCUGUUCGGCUGCGUAGAGGGGAGCUUCCCCUUCAGAUACUUAGGAAUCCCAAUGCACUUCCGGAAGCUUUCGAACAAGCACUGGAGUUCAAUCGAAGAGCGAUUCCAGAAAAAACUUAGUAGCUGGAAAGGGAAGCUGCUAUCUUCUGGGGGCAGAUUAGUGCUAAUAAAUUCAGUCCUGUCUAGUCUACCUAUGUUCAUGAUGUCCUUUUUUGCAAUUCCUAAAGGGGUGCAAAAAAGACUGGAUUAUUAUCGAUCCAGAUUUUUCUGGCAGUGUGACGAACAUAAGAAGAAGUAUAGGUUAGCAAAGUGGAAUAUACUUUGUAAACCAAGGUGCAUGGGGGGAUUGGGGAUCUUAGACUUAGAAACCCAGAACAAAUGCUUACUUAGUAAGUGGUUGUUCAAGCUCUUCAAUGAGGAUGGUCUUUGGCAAGAUGUGCUGAAAAGGAAGUAUGUCAAAGACAAAUGCUUAUCUCAAAUCAAAAAGCGUCCAGGAGAUUCCCAUUUCUGGUCUGGACUGAUGGAGGUGAAAGAAUUGUUACUUCAGCAUGGUCGAUUCAUAGUAAAUAAUGGUUGUCAGACUAGGUUCUGGGAGGAUGUGUGGACUGAACAACAACCGUUAAUGCAGAAAUUUCCAGACCUGUAUAGAAUCGUGAGGAAGAAAGGGGUUUCAGUUGCUAGUGUACUUAGUUCUACCCCGCUGAAUGUUUCCUUCAGACGGGGUUUAGUGGGGGAAAGACUGAAGGAUUGGCUCAAUUUAGUGGCUCUAGUGCUACAGGUAUGCCUGAACAAUGACAAAGACAAAUUCAUUUGGCAAAAUAAAAAGAAUGGAGUUUUCUCAACGCAGUCAAUGUAUAGAGAAAUAAUGAAAAGAGAGAAGAUAUCUGGGAACGAAGUAUUCUGGAAAGCGAAGUUGCCUUUGAAAAUUAAAAUUUUUCUUUGGUACUUGAAAAGAGGGGUAAUUUUAACAAAAGACAACUUAUUAAAAAGAAGAUGGAAGGGUGAUUCUAAGUGUAAUCUGUGUGGUCUGGAUGAAAGUAUCCAACACCUCUUCUUUGAAUGCCGGGUGGCUAGAUUUGUUUGGAACGCAUUAUUUAUAACUUUUAGUAUUAAACCACCAAAGUGUACAUCCCACAUGUUUGGAUCUUGGAUAAGGGGUUUUGCACCAAGGCUAAGAAAUCAAAUGCUAGUGGGGAUAGCAGCUUUUUGUUGGGUUUUAUGGCUAAAUAGAAAUGAUGCGGUUUUCCAAAAUUUGGUUGCUAAUUCUUAUUUGCAGGUGAUUUUCAGGGGGAGUUUCUGGAUCAGGCAUUGGUCUCUGCUGUCUAAAGAGGAAGAGAGAAGAAAUUUGAAUUAUGGCUGCAGAUAUCUGGAAGGAGCAGCACUACAACUCUUUAGUUCCUGGAAACAUUAUAAGAGAAUAGGAGUGUAGAAUCCUUCUUUUGUUGUGGUCUGUGCCUCGGGCAGUACCUGUUUGAUUUUCUUCCUGUGUAAGGCAACAGAUAUCUGUUGUGUUUGCCCGGUUCGAGUGUCUUCAUGUGUAAGGUUUAGAUUUGUGGUCAGUUUGCUCGCUUUAGCUGAGCUCUGGACUUUGUCAUGGCUAGGUUGCCCUCAUGUGUUAGGGCCCAAGUUUUUAUCUAGUUUGCCGCUUAGCGGAUUCUGGGUUAUGUCCCAACUUUUGUAAUGUUUAAGCUGUAAGCAUUCACUCGUGAAUGUGCAGGCUGGAAUAGAUAUUCCUUUAUCUAAAAAAAACAAAUAUCUUGC